UACGUAGGGUGCGAGCGUUAAUCGGAAUUACUGGGCGUAAAGCGUGCGCAGGCGGUUUUGUAAGCCAGAUGUGAAAGCCCCGGGCUUAACCUGGGAAUGGCAUUUGGGACUGCAAGGCUUGAGUGCGGCAGAGGAGACUGGAAUUCCUGGUGUAGCAGUGAAAUGCGUAGAUAUCAGGAGGAAUACCGAUGGCGAAGGCAGGUCUCUGGGCUGAUACUGACGCUCAUGCACGAAAGCGUGGGGAGCAAACAGG
This 253-nucleotide ribosomal RNA is filed under the name uncultured bacterium. Its description in RNAcentral is "partial 16S ribosomal RNA". It matches the Rfam family "Bacterial small subunit ribosomal RNA", at positions 524 to 776 of the family's 1533-position model. The record is from RNAcentral.